Molecule: transfer RNA, 72 nt
Filed under: Rhodococcus sp. SMB37
Lineage: Bacteria; Bacillati; Actinomycetota; Actinomycetes; Mycobacteriales; Nocardiaceae
Also listed under: 2 other names
Rfam family: tRNA
About the family: Transfer RNA (tRNA) molecules are approximately 80 nucleotides in length. Their secondary structure includes four short double-helical elements and three loops (D, anti-codon, and T loops). Further hydrogen bonds mediate the characteristic L-shaped molecular structure. tRNAs have two regions of fundamental functional importance: the anti-codon, which is responsible for specific mRNA codon recognition, and the 3' end, to which the tRNAs corresponding amino acid is attached (by aminoacyl-tRNA synthetases). tRNAs cope with the degeneracy of the genetic code in two manners: having more than one tRNA (with a specific anti-codon) for a particular amino acid; and 'wobble' base-pairing, i.e. permitting non-standard base-pairing at the 3rd anti-codon position.
Source: Rfam by way of RNAcentral
GCGGGUGUGGCCGAGGUGGCAAGGCAGCGGUCUGCAAAACCGUCAACGCGGGUUCGACUCCCGCCAUCCGCU